RNAcentral lists this ribosomal RNA (460 nucleotides) under uncultured bacterium. RNAcentral describes it as "partial 16S ribosomal RNA". It matches the Rfam family "Bacterial small subunit ribosomal RNA", at positions 338 to 795 of the family's 1533-position model. The record is from RNAcentral.
CCUACGGGCGGCAGCAGUGAGGAAUAUUGGUCAAUGGACGAGAGUCUGAACCAGCCAAGUAGCGUGAAGGAUGACUGCCCUAUGGGUUGUAAACUUCUUUUAUAUGGGAAUAAAACGUUCCACGUGUGGGAUUUUGUAUGUACCAUAUGAAUAAGGAUCGGCUAACUCCGUGCCAGCAGCCGCGGUAAUACGGAGGAUCCGAGCGUUAUCCGGAUUUAUUGGGUUUAAAGGGAGCGUAGGUGGAUUGUUAAGUCAGUUGUGAAAGUUUGGGGCUCAACCGUAAAAUUGCAGUUGAAACUGGCAGUCUUGAGGAGAGUAGAGGUGGGCGGAAUGCGUGGUGUAGCGGUGAAAUGCUUAGAUAUCACGAAGAACUCCGAUUGCGAAGGCAGUUCACUGGACUGCAACUGACACUGAGGCUCGAAAGUGUGGGUAUCAAACAGGAUUAGAUACCCGAGUAGUC